This 30-nucleotide non-coding RNA is filed under the name Mus musculus (house mouse). Lineage: Eukaryota; Metazoa; Chordata; Mammalia; Rodentia; Muridae. The record is from RNAcentral.
UNGCCUCAGACUGAGACUUGUACAAAUGGC